AGGAUGAACGCUGGCGGCGUGCUUAACACAUGCAAGUCACGGGGGCCCAGCAAUGGGCAACCGGCGAACGGGUGCGUAACACGUGAGCAACCUACCUAAGUGAGGGGAAUAGCCGGCCCAACGGCCGGGUAAUACCGCAUACGCUCGAAUUGAGGCAUUUUGAUUCGAGGAACCUACGGGGCACUAUGAGGGGCUCGCGGCCUAUCAGCUAGUUGGUGAGGUAACGGCUCACCAAGGCGACGACGGGUAGCUGGUCUGAGAGGAUGGCCAGCCACAUUGGGACUGAGAUACGGGCCCAGACUCCUACGGGAGGCAGCAGUGGGGAAUCGUUGCGCAAUGGCCUAACGGCUGACGCAGCGACGCCGCGUGAGGGAUGACGCUCUUCGGAGUGUAAACCUUCUUUUGUCUGAGACGUAUUGUCAGUCUUACAGUCUUGUAGUUCGGUAGGUACGUCGGAACGUAACGUA
Molecule: ribosomal RNA, 467 nt
Filed under: uncultured soil bacterium
Lineage: Bacteria
Description: bacterial SSU rRNA
Rfam family: Bacterial small subunit ribosomal RNA
Source: RNAcentral